RNAcentral lists this long non-coding RNA (1139 nucleotides) under Pogona vitticeps (central bearded dragon). Its description in RNAcentral is "lncRNA (ENSPVIG00000015524.1)". The record is from RNAcentral. Lineage: Eukaryota; Metazoa; Chordata; Lepidosauria; Squamata; Agamidae.
AUCUGCUGGACUCCUGGUUCGGAACCACUGUUACAGUAACGUUGACAUCACCUGUCCGCCACUGCUGAAGCUGUAUGUUAUCGGCCAAUAGCGUGACGGAAGGUGGGACUUAAGGGGUGGAGCUAGUGUAUAUAAGGGGAGUGAAUGGUGUGAGUGCUUUAGAUAGGGAUUUGAGAUAGGGGCGAGAUAGGGACGUGAUAGGGAGAUAGGGCUGGUUAGGGACCAGAUAGGGUUAUGCUAGGGAGAUAGGGUUUGAAGAUAUUGUGAAGUAAGAACUAUGCUAACUAGUGAGGGUCUGUGAGAGAGUGUGUGAGAGAGUUACUUUAUUACAGUGAUUGCCUUAUUAUUUUUAUUCAAGUCAUUUACCAUUCCUUUUGUUGUACACAAUAAACACAAGUUCUUUUAUUUUAAAAUCAUACAUUGGCCUGAAGUAUUAUUUGAGGGAAUGGUUGGUGGCAGCGUGAAUUAAGAGUGAGUGAGUGUGACGUAAUAGCCCCUUUGUGACGCAUGAGGAGGCCGUUACAACCACUACCAAAAGAAGACAGCUGGCUGCUGUGAGACCAGACUGGCAGGCAAGAGAGACUUCUGGUCUGAUCCAGUCAAGGUUGUUCUUAGAAGGAUGUCCCAUAAUAAUGGAAAGAUAUAGUUCACGGGGACAGAAGCAUCCUCCUUCAAAGGCAAGCUAGGGUCAGUCUCACAGCAAGUGAUGGUUAAGUGACUCUUGCCUUAAAGGCUGCCUUACUGCUAGCCAGGUGGUGGUUAGGUGACUCUUGCCUUAAAGGCUGCCUUACUGUUUACAGUAUUUGCUACAGAUGUUAACAAGCACAUUUGCCCAGGUGUAGCCGCGUUACUAGAAAGAGAAGGCCUUCCCUACGGUGGCACUCGGAUUCUGAGACAACCUUCGGAAGCAGUUUAUAUUAAUAGAAAGAAGAUUGACCACACAAUGAGAAACUAUCAGCUGGAAAACGAUCAAUCAUACAACUUCAGGAUCCAGUCUGGAGAAUAUGAUCACAGAAAAGUGGAUUCACGUGAACAAUGUUAAUGAAUCACCUUCGUAAUGGCUUCACACAAUAGAUAUACAGGGACAGUAAUUGCAGGGUGACUUUACUGAGGAAACAACAAUGGUGGCCAGCAAACAA